This 57-nucleotide transfer RNA is filed under the name Anisakis simplex (herring worm). Its description in RNAcentral is "tRNA-His". The record is from RNAcentral. Lineage: Eukaryota; Metazoa; Nematoda; Chromadorea; Rhabditida; Anisakidae.
AGCUUUUUAGUUUAUGUUAAAAAUGGGUGCUUGUGGCGCGCUUGAAUUUAGGAGCUU